RNAcentral lists this ribosomal RNA (403 nucleotides) under Fusobacteriota bacterium. RNAcentral's name for it is "Fusobacteria bacterium partial 16S ribosomal RNA". It matches the Rfam family "Bacterial small subunit ribosomal RNA", at positions 355 to 776 of the family's 1533-position model. The record is from RNAcentral. Lineage: Bacteria; Fusobacteriati; Fusobacteriota.
UGGGGAAUAUUGCACAAUGGAGGGAACUCUGAUGCAGCGACGCCGCGUGAACGAAGAAGGCUUUCGAGUCGUAAAGUUCUUUUAUAUGGGAAGAUAAUGACGGUACCAUAAGAAAAAGCCCCGGCUAACUACGUGCCAGCAGCCGCGGUAAUACGUAGGGGGCUAGCGUUGUCCGGAAUCACUGGGCGUAAAGGGUUGGCAGGCGGAAAUGCAAGUCAGGUGUAAAAGGCAGUAGCUUAACUACUGUAAGCAUUUGAAACUGCAUAUCUUGAGAAGAGUAGAGGUAAGUGGAAUUUUUAGUGUAGCGGUGAAAUGCGUAGAUAUUAAAAAGAAUACCGGUGGCGAGGGCGACUUACUGGGCUCAUUCUGACGCUGAGGAACGAAAGCGUGGGUAGCAAACAGG